GAUGAACGCUAGCGACAGGCCUAACACUGCAAGUCGAGGGGCAGCACGGUGUAGCAAUACACGGGUGGCGACCGGCGCACGGGUGAGUAACGCGUAUGCAACCUGCCUACUACAAGGGGAUUAACCCGUUGAAAGACGGACUAAUACCCUAUAACACAGGGAAUCCGCAUGGAUAUAUUUGUUAAAGAUUUAUCGGUAGUAGAUGGGCAUGCGUUCCAUUAGCUUGUUGGUGAGGUAACGGCUCACCAAGGCAACGAUGGAUAGGGGAACUGAGAGGUUGAUCCCCCACACUGGAACUGAGACACGGUCCAGACUCCUACGGGAGGCAGCAGUGAGGAAUAUUGGUCAAUGGACGAGAGUCUGAACCAGCCAAGUCGCGUGAAGGAAGACGGCCCUACGGGUUGUAAACUUCUUUUGUAAGGGAAUAAAUAGUCUUACGCGCUAAGACGUUGCAGGUACCUUACGAAUAAGGAUCGGCUAACUCCGUG
RNAcentral lists this ribosomal RNA (488 nucleotides) under uncultured bacterium. RNAcentral's name for it is "bacterial SSU rRNA". It matches the Rfam family "Bacterial small subunit ribosomal RNA", at positions 28 to 507 of the family's 1533-position model. The record is from RNAcentral.